UGGGGAAUAUUGCACAAUGGGCGAAAGCCUGAUGCAGCGACGCCGCGUGAGAGAUGACGGCCUUCGGGUUGUAAACCUCUUUCAGUAGGGAAGAAGCGAAAGUGACGGUACCUGCAGAAGAAGCGCCGGCUAACUACGUGCCAGCAGCCGCGGUAAUACGUAGGGCGCAAGCGUUAUCCGGAAUUAUUGGGCGUAAAGAGCUCGUAGGCGGUUUGUCGCGUCUGCCGUGAAAGUCCGGGGCUCAACUCCGGAUCUGCGGUGGGUACGGGCAGACUAGAGUGAUGUAGGGGAGACUGGAAUUCCUGGUGUAGCGGUGAAAUGCGCAGAUAUCAGGAGGAACACCGAUGGCGAAGGCAGGUCUCUGGGCAUUAACUGACGCUGAGGAGCGAAAGCAUGGGGAGCGAACAG
Molecule: ribosomal RNA, 408 nt
Filed under: uncultured bacterium
Lineage: Bacteria
Description: bacterial SSU rRNA
Rfam family: Bacterial small subunit ribosomal RNA
Source: RNAcentral